AUACGGAGGGGGUUAGCGUUGUUCGGAAUUACUGGGCGUAAAGCGCGCGUAGGCGGACUGGAAAGUUGGGGGUGAAAUCCCGGGGCUCAACCCCGGAACUGCCUCCAAAACUUCCAAUCUAGAGAUCGAGAGAGGGGAGUGGAAUUCCAAGUGUAGAGGUGAAAUUCGUAGAUAUUUGGAGGAACACCAGUGGCGAAGGCGGCUCACUGGCUCGAUACUGACGCUGAGGUGCGAAAGCGUGGGGAGCAAACAGGAUUAGAAACCCCAGUAGUCC
RNAcentral lists this ribosomal RNA (274 nucleotides) under uncultured bacterium. Its description in RNAcentral is "partial 16S ribosomal RNA". It matches the Rfam family "Bacterial small subunit ribosomal RNA", at positions 523 to 796 of the family's 1533-position model. The record is from RNAcentral.